GUGAGUAACACGUGGGUGACCUGCCUCGAAGACGGGGAUAACCACUGGAAACGGUGGCUAAUACCCGAUGGCCUCGAUAAUUCGGUUUAUCGAGUAAAGGCUCCGGCGCUUUGAGAGGGACCUGCGGCCCAUCAGCUAGUUGGUAGGGUAAUGGCCUACCAAGGCAAAGACGGGUAGGGGGCGUGAGAGCGUGACCCCCCACACUGGCACUGGGACACGGGCCAGACUCCUACGGGAGGCAGCAGUGAGGAAUAUUGCGCAAUGAGCGAAAGCUAGACGCAGCAACGCCGCGUGGGUGAUGAAGGCCUUCGGGUCGUAAAACCCUUUUCUGGGGGAAGAGUAAGGACGGUACCCCAGGAAUAAGCCUCGGCUAACUAUGUGCCAGCAGCCGCGGUAAUACAUAGGAGGCAAGCGUUAUCCGGAUUUACUGGGCGUAAAGAGCGUUGAGGCGGCUUCGUAAGUUGGACGUGAAAGCUCCCGGCUUAACUGGGAGAGGCCGUUCAAUACUGCGGGGCUUGAGGACAGCAGAGGGGGGUGGAAUUUCCGGUGUAGUGGUGAAAUGCGUAGAUAUCGGAAGGAACACCAGUGGCGAAGGCGGCCCCCUGGGCUGCUCCUGACGCUGAAGGCGAAAGCUAGGGUAGCGAACGGGAUUAGAAACCCCGGUAGUCCUAGCCGUAAACGAUGGAUACUAGGUGUAGGAGGUUAAAAUUCCUUCUGUGCCGGAGCUAACGCGUUAAGUAUCCCGCCUGGGGAGUACGGUCGCAAGGCUAAAACUCAAAGGAAUUGACGGGGGCCCGCACAAGCAGCGGAGCGUGUGGUUUAAUUCGAUGCAACGCGAAGAACCUUACCAGGGCUUGACAUGUAGGUAGUAGUGAAGCGAAAGCGGAACGAUCUUUCGGGAAGCCUACACAGGUGCUGCAUGGCUGUCGUCAGCUCGUGCCGUGAGGUGCUAGGUUAAGUCUUGUAACGAGCGCAACUCCUGCCGUUAGUUACAAGUGUCUAUCGGGACUGCCCGGCAAAACUGGGAGGAAGGUGGGGAUGAGGUCAAGUCAGCAUGGCCUUUAUGUCCUG
RNAcentral lists this ribosomal RNA (1071 nucleotides) under uncultured organism. Its description in RNAcentral is "bacterial SSU rRNA". It matches the Rfam family "Bacterial small subunit ribosomal RNA", at positions 106 to 1211 of the family's 1533-position model. The record is from RNAcentral.